This 274-nucleotide ribosomal RNA is filed under the name uncultured bacterium. RNAcentral's name for it is "partial 16S ribosomal RNA". It matches the Rfam family "Bacterial small subunit ribosomal RNA", at positions 523 to 796 of the family's 1533-position model. The record is from RNAcentral.
AUACGGAGGGGGUUAGCGUUGUUCGGAAUUACUGGGCGUAAAGCGCACGUAGGCGGAUUGGAAAGUUGGGGGUGAAAUCCCAGGGCUCAACCCUGGAACUGCCUCCAAAACUAACAGUCUAGAGUUCGAGAGAGGUGAGUGGAAUUCCAAGUGUAGAGGUGAAAUUCGUAGAUAUUUGGAGGAACACCAGUAGCGAAGGCGGCUCACUGACUCGAUACUGACGCUGAGGUGCGAAAGCGUGGGGAGCAAACAGGAUUAGAAACCCUAGUAGUCC